This 497-nucleotide ribosomal RNA is filed under the name uncultured bacterium. RNAcentral describes it as "partial 16S ribosomal RNA". It matches the Rfam family "Bacterial small subunit ribosomal RNA", at positions 28 to 507 of the family's 1533-position model. The record is from RNAcentral.
GACGAACGCUGGCGGCGUGCCUAAUACAUGCAAGUUGAGCGCUGAAGGUUGGUACUUAUCCCAACUGGAUGAGCAGCGAACGGGUGAGUAACGCGUGGGGAAUCUGCCUUUGAGCGGGGGACAACAUUUGGAAACGAAUGCUAAUACCGCAUAAAAACUUUAAACACAAGUUUUAAGUUUGAAAGAUGCAAUUGCAUCACUCAAAGAUGAUCCCGCGUUGUAUUAGCUAGUUGGUGAGGUAAAGGCUCACCAAGGCGAUGAUACAUAGCCGACCUGAGAGGGUGAUCGGCCACAUUGGGACUGAGACACGGCCCAAACUCCUACGGGAGGCAGCAGUAGGGAAUCUUCGGCAAUGGACGAAAGUCUGACCGAGCAACGCCGCGUGAGUGAAGAAGGUUUUCGGAUCGUAAAACUCUGUUGGUAGAGAAGAACGUUGGUGAGAGUGGAAAGCUCAUCAAGUGACGGUAACUACCCAGAAAGGGACGGCUAACUACGUG